This is a non-coding RNA of Paramuricea clavata, 284 nucleotides long. The record is from the annotation of a GenBank genome assembly. NCBI's taxonomy places the organism in Eukaryota, Metazoa, Cnidaria, Anthozoa, Malacalcyonacea, Plexauridae.
CCCUCUCCCGAUUUCAAUGUUGUUAGGCACUACAAUACUGUUUAAUUCCAACAUCAUAUGUUAAAUUUCAACCGCCUGUGCCACAGUUGCGGUGCUAGUGUCACCUUAUGUUCGUUUUGGAUAAGUACAGUAGGUUUCAACAUUGAAAUAAGGGGGGAGGGGAUUGAUUUAAAAAGUCUCAAUAUAUUUUGUGGACGAUUGUAGGUACUAAUAGGUUGGAACAAGACCUCAGAUCAUAAGUUUGAAGAUUUUUAGGCGGUACUAAGGCAUUCAGUUUAUGAGUG